CGCCCCGCCCGCCCUGCCUCUCUCUGAUGAAAUGUCGGUAAUUCAAUCUGCGGCGAAGCUCCGUGCCCCCGGGGAAGCUGGCAGCGCCUCGGAAGGCCAGCUGAAGGGAGGGAGUGUGUCUGUGCGUGUGUGAGAGUGUGUGUGAGUGUGUGUGUGUCUCUGCGUAUGUCUGUGUCUGUUUGUGUGUGUGUGUAUGUCUGUGCGUGUACCAGCCUGCUGGGGAGAUGGGAGGGAACAUGUUUCCAGGAACAAUGUCAAUAGCUCCCUUUUUCUAUUGUGAUUUCAAUACACAUCCCCAUUUUGUGGAGGUGCAAACUGAGGCUGAGAAGAUCAGAAAGCACAGCCAGCAUCUCUCAGAGGAAAAGGAUGAUCCCCGUUUUUAUCUUUGUACUCCCAACACAGCCUGAGGAGGUGCAUGCUUAAUAAAGGUCCGUGGUCUAGAUGUCUGUCUUCCCUGUCACAUGCUACUCUGUAUCAUAUUUAUAUGUGCACAUAUGUAUUCCUUAGUAGAAGGAAUGAUCAGCAGGAUGGUUUCAGAAAAUCCUGAAGUACUUACAUGAACUGAUGCUGAGUGAAAAGAGCAGAACCAAGAGAAUAUUAUACAUGGCAACAAGAUUGUACAAUGAUCAAUUCUGAUGGACGUGGCCCUCUUCAACAAUGAGAUAAUUCAGGACAGUUCCAAUGGUUUAGUGAUGAAGAGAGCCAUCUGCACCCAGAGAGAGGCCUGUGGAAACUGAAUGUGGAUCACAAUAUAGCAUUCUCACUAUCUCUGUUGUUGCUUGCUUGCACUUUAUUCUUCUUCCUUUUUUUUUUUUUUUUUUCCACUGGUUGAUCUGAUUUUUCUUGUGCAGCACAAUAAUUAUAUAAAUAUGUAUGCAUAUAUUGGAUUUAACAUAUAUUUUAUCAUGUUUAACAUAUACUGGACUACUUGCUACCUAGGGGAAGGCACAGGAAAAGAGGGG
Molecule: long non-coding RNA, 962 nt
Filed under: Sarcophilus harrisii (Tasmanian devil)
Lineage: Eukaryota; Metazoa; Chordata; Mammalia; Dasyuromorphia; Dasyuridae
Description: lncRNA (ENSSHAG00000023549.1)
Source: RNAcentral